RNAcentral lists this ribosomal RNA (1317 nucleotides) under Pediococcus pentosaceus. RNAcentral's name for it is "bacterial SSU rRNA". It matches the Rfam family "Bacterial small subunit ribosomal RNA", at positions 47 to 1320 of the family's 1533-position model. The record is from RNAcentral. Lineage: Bacteria; Bacillati; Bacillota; Bacilli; Lactobacillales; Lactobacillaceae.
CUUAAUACAUGCAAGUCGAACGAACUUCCGUUAAUUGAUUAUGACGUACUUGUACUGAUUGAGAUUUUAACACGAAGUGAGUGGCGAACGGGUGAGUAACACGUGGGUAACCUGCCCAGAAGUAGGGGAUAACACCUGGAAACAGAUGCUAAUACCGUAUAACAGAGAAAACCGCAUGGUUUUCUUUUAAAAGAUGGCUCUGCUAUCACUUCUGGAUGGACCCGCGGCGUAUUAGCUAGUUGGUGAGGUAAAGGCUCACCAAGGCAGUGAUACGUAGCCGACCUGAGAGGGUAAUCGGCCACAUUGGGACUGAGACACGGCCCAGACUCCUACGGGAGGCAGCAGUAGGGAAUCUUCCACAAUGGACGCAAGUCUGAUGGAGCAACGCCGCGUGAGUGAAGAAGGGUUUCGGCUCGUAAAGCUCUGUUGUUAAAGAAGAACGUGGGUAAGAGUAACUGUUUACCCAGUGACGGUAUUUAACCAGAAAGCCACGGCUAACUACGUGCCAGCAGCCGCGGUAAUACGUAGGUGGCAAGCGUUAUCCGGAUUUAUUGGGCGUAAAGCGAGCGCAGGCGGUCUUUUAAUUCUAAUGUGAAAGCCUUCGGCUCAACCGAAGAAGUGCAUUGGAAACUGGGAGACUUGAGUGCAGAAGAGGACAGUGGAACUCCAUGUGUAGCGGUGAAAUGCGUAGAUAUAUGGAAGAACACCAGUGGCGAAGGCGGCUGUCUGGUCUGCAACUGACGCUGAGGCUCGAAAGCAUGGGUAGCGAACAGGAUUAGAUACCCUGGUAGUCCAUGCCGUAAACGAUGAUUACUAAGUGUUGGAGGGUUUCCGCCCUUCAGUGCUGCAGCUAACGCAUUAAGUAAUCCGCCUGGGGAGUACGACCGCAAGGUUGAAACUCAAAAGAAUUGACGGGGGCCCGCACACGCGGUGGAGCAUGUGGUUUAAUUAGAAGCUACGCGAAGAACCUUACCAGGUCUUGACAUCUUCUGACAGUCUAAGAGAUUAGAGGUUCCCUUCGGGGACAGAAUGACAGGUGGUGCAUGGUUGUCGUCAGCUCGUGUCGUGAGAUGUUGGGUUAAGUCCCGCAACGAGCGCAACCCUUAUUACUAGUUGCCAGCAUUAAGUUGGGCACUCUAAUGAGACUGCCGGUGACAAACCGGAGGAAGGUGGGGACGACGUCCAAUCAUCAUGCCCCUUAUGACCUGGGCUACACACGUGCUACAAUGGAUGGUACAACGAGUCGCGAGACCGCGAGGUUAAGCUAAUCUCUUAAAACCAUUCUCAGUUCGGACUGUAGGUUGCAACUUGCCUACA